This 495-nucleotide ribosomal RNA is filed under the name uncultured bacterium. Its description in RNAcentral is "partial 16S ribosomal RNA". It matches the Rfam family "Bacterial small subunit ribosomal RNA", at positions 28 to 507 of the family's 1533-position model. The record is from RNAcentral.
GACGAACGCUGGCGGCGUGCCUAAUACAUGCAAGUCGAACGCUGAAGGAGGAGCUUGCUUCUCUGGAUGAGUUGCGAACGGGUGAGUAACGCGUAGGUAACCUGCCUGGUAGCGGGGGAUAACUAUUGGAAACGAUAGCUAAUACCGCAUAAGAGUAGAUGUUGCAUGACAUUUACUUAAAAGGUGCAAUUGCAUCAUUACCAGAUGGACCUGCGUUGUAUUAGCUAGUUGGUGAGGUAACGGCUCACCAAGGCAACGAUACAUAGCCGACCUGAGAGGGGGAUCGGCCACACUGGGACUGAGACACGGCCCAGACUCCUACGGGGAGCAGCAGUAGGGGAUCUUCGGCAAUGGACGGAAGUCUGACCGGGCAACGCCGCGUGGGUGAAGAAGGGUUUCGGAUCGUAAAGCUCUGUUGUAAGGGAAGAACGAGUGUGAGAGUGGAAAGUUCACACUGUGACGGUAUCUUACCAGAAAGGGACGGCUAACUACGUG